This 76-nucleotide transfer RNA is filed under the name Halochromatium salexigens. Its description in RNAcentral is "tRNA-Lys". It matches the Rfam family "tRNA". From Rfam's summary of the family: Transfer RNA (tRNA) molecules are approximately 80 nucleotides in length. The record is from RNAcentral. Lineage: Bacteria; Pseudomonadati; Pseudomonadota; Gammaproteobacteria; Chromatiales; Chromatiaceae. RNAcentral also lists the same sequence under 8 other names.
GGGCCGUUAGCUCAGCUGGUAGAGCAGGGGACUCUUAAUCCCUUGGUCGUAGGUUCGAAUCCUACACGGCCCACCA